UACGAAGGGUGCAAGCGUUACUCGGAAUUACUGGGCGUAAAGCGUGCGUAGGCGGUUUGUUAAGUCUGUCGUGAAAGCCCCGGGCUCAACCUGGGAAUGGCGAUGGAUACUGGCGAGCUAGAGUACGGUAGAGGAGAGUGGAAUUCCCGGUGUAGCGGUGAAAUGCGUAGAGAUCGGGAGGAACAUCAGUUGCGAAGGCGGCUCUCUGGACCAGUACUGACGCUGAGGCACGAAAGCGUGGGGAGCAAACAGG
This 253-nucleotide ribosomal RNA is filed under the name uncultured bacterium. Its description in RNAcentral is "partial 16S ribosomal RNA". It matches the Rfam family "Bacterial small subunit ribosomal RNA", at positions 524 to 776 of the family's 1533-position model. The record is from RNAcentral.